This 398-nucleotide long non-coding RNA is filed under the name Coturnix japonica (Japanese quail). Its description in RNAcentral is "lncRNA (ENSCJPG00005014408.1)". Lineage: Eukaryota; Metazoa; Chordata; Aves; Galliformes; Phasianidae. The record is from RNAcentral.
CUGAUGGUGGGUGGUGUUAAGGCCCUGGACUCCUCUCUGGCUGCUCCUCCUGGAGGAGAUGCUGUGUGCUGAGCUUCAAGGUCAUGUAGAAAAAGGAUCAAUCCUCUAGACCACGGGUUGAGAAUCAAAUUGCCUGUGUGCCCUGAAGUCUGAGAAUCAAAUGAAGAAGUUUACCACGUGGAGACUUCAAAUUUUACUUGAACUAAGUCUAAAAAAUGACCAGAGAACUUUUUACUGUGAUUUUUGCCAUAUGGAUCACAGAAGAUCCCUGAAUAGGCGCUACCUGGAGCCUUCCCACUGUUGAGCAGAAGAAUUACUUUGUUUCUUCACUCUAUGUUUUGGGUAUCCAUGCUUAAUGCAUCUGAGCGUGGCAUUAAAUAUUAUUUACAGCCAAAAAU